CACACUUAAAAAUGAGGAUCCUUAUGAGCAUUCAUGACUCCAUAUAGAACCUUUAACAUCCAUGGAAGCUUUCCAUUGAACAAAAGGUUCUAUACAGUGGAAAAAGUUUAUUUAGAUCAUUAAAAUGUUCUUCAC
This is a long non-coding RNA of Sinocyclocheilus anshuiensis, 135 nucleotides long. RefSeq lists it as uncharacterized. NCBI's taxonomy places the organism in Eukaryota, Metazoa, Chordata, Actinopteri, Cypriniformes, Cyprinidae. The transcript is spliced from 5 exons. The record is from RefSeq and is a predicted model, not a curated record.